CCUACGGGAGGCAGCAGUAGGGAAUUUUCCGCAAUGGGCGAAAGCCUGACGGAGCAAUACCGCGUGAGGGAAGAAUGCCUACGGGUUGUAAACCUCUUUUUUCAGGGAGGAACAUAAUGACGUGUACCUGAAGAAUAAGCAUCGGCUAACUCCGUGCCAGCAGCCGCGGUAAGACGGAGGAUGCAAGUGUUAUCCGGAAUCACUGGGCGUAAAGCGUCUGUAGGUGGUUUAAUAAGUCAACUGUUAAAUCUUGAGGCUCAACCUCAAAAUCGCAGUCGAAACUAUUAGACUAGAGUAUAGUAGGGGUAAAGGGAAUUUCCAGUGGAGCGGUGAAAUGCGUAGAGAUUGGAAAGAACACCGAUGGCGAAAGCACUUUACUAGGCUAUUACUGACACUCAGAGACGAAAGCUAGGGUAGCAAAUGGGAUUAGAUACCCCAGCAGUCCUAGCUGUAAACUAUGGAUACUAGAUGUUGAACAGAUCGACCUGUGCAGUAUCAAAGCUAACGCGUUAAGUAUCCCGCCUGGGAAGUAUGCUCGCAAGGGUGAAACUCAAAGGAUUGACGGNGNGAGAGNGCGAGACGACGACGAGGGAGAG
Molecule: ribosomal RNA, 596 nt
Filed under: uncultured bacterium
Lineage: Bacteria
Description: bacterial SSU rRNA
Rfam family: Bacterial small subunit ribosomal RNA
Source: RNAcentral